Long non-coding RNA from Lagenorhynchus albirostris (white-beaked dolphin), 4470 nucleotides. RefSeq lists it as uncharacterized. The record is from RefSeq and is a predicted model, not a curated record. Lineage: Eukaryota; Metazoa; Chordata; Mammalia; Artiodactyla; Delphinidae. The transcript has 6 exons.
CAUUCCUGACCUGCUUCUCCAGUUGAAAACUGCUCCCUAAGAGAAUCUGUACCUGCUUCUCUCUGCAUCUCUGCUCCAUUCCUCUCUUGCUACCAAAUAGACACUCCCCGCUAUGAGGGAGAGGACAUUCCAGCUAUGAGGCUCUCUGAGUAAACCUGACCUCUGGACGCACAGAAUCAUGCCCUGAAAGAGGCUGCAAUUUCUGGACAACUGGAGACAAGCUCAUUGGAAUAGGACCCAAGAGCUGGACCAGAUGUUGGUGUUAACACUCUCAUAACUGUUACAGGACAGGUUGAACACGGUGUGCAAUGAAUAACUUUGAAGAAAUGUGCAUACAUUUUCAAAAGGUUGAGGUAAGGGAGGUGGAGGAGGAAGAGAAACACUGCUGUUGUGAAAACAUUUAAAAGAAACUUGAUGCAAUGUGCCUUCUUUCCUUCUUCAACUUACACUUGGUCCUCCUCUGUGUGCAUGCACAUCUCUUAGCCAAGAGGGAUUCUAGUGAAGAGACCUAUGGGGAAUGAACUCCUGCUGCUUACCCUGCAGCCCAUCUAUCUCCUGCCUCAGGAAUGUCGUUCAUUCAUCGAUAGGCCAACCAGCCCAUCUUAAGUGAAGGUGCUCAAUCUCACAGAGUUCCAGCAAAUGAAAGGCCUCGAGAUAAGAGGCAAUAAGAACUGACCGUGUUUGUCCUGCUGCAUCAGGAGUGAGUGCUGCAGUACAACACAUACAGCAAGGACCUCUGGUCACAGUGCCGAAGGAAUUAUCCAGAAUCUUCCUGGUCUAUUAUACUAAUAAAUCUAAUACUACUAUACGUAUACUAAUACUAAUAUACUUACACGUUAAUAAUUAAUAGGAGUGAAAGUUGCCUCCAACCACCACUGUGACCCCCAUCACGAGGCAGGUGCUACAGCAAUGUUCUAUCAGUCAGGGCUCUCUUGCUAAAGGAGAAGCACUUCUGUAUUUCAAGGAGAAAGAGUUUAGUUAGAAGCUUACACAAUGCUUUGAAGGGUUGGAGAAACAGUAUGGAAACUAGCUGGUUCAUGAAAUCAAGCAGGGGUGGAUCCUAGGGAAACUGUUGACAACAAUCCCAGCUGUGUCUGUAACAUCAAAGCAGGUGAUUCUCAGGAGGGGGCCGGAAGCUGCAGCAAAUCAUAUGUCUAUCAUAUGUCCAAGCGUUUGUUCACAACUGCCAACAGACACACUGACUCUUCUGCCUUCCUCAUGUCCUGUGAGCAACUUUAAUUGGCAGACUGUAACCCAAUACAGGAAGGUGAUCCUGGGAAAUGGAGCUCCAGACUUCCCUGCAAUGCAGAGAAUGGAGAAAGUGGUGUGGAUGAUAUUGAAUUGACAAAGAUAAUCUGGUACAAGCAAAUUAAGCCAAACACCUAUAUCGAGGGUAGAAGGCACACAAGAUGCCAUUCCUCGUAUAUUAGUACAGAACCUCAGGGACACUCUGGGCAGAAUCCCUAGAGCAAAUUAAGUGCAGACAGACAUGGUGGCUUAAUAAUUCACCCAGCUUCUCUUUCCUUCUCAAAUGUCAAACUGCCUGGAAGUCUCAGAUAUCGAUCUGACACACACGUAACCCCCAUGCAACACAGGCUAUCUUUCCUCAACCUGGCAGUGCCCUCAAGCAUAACAAGACUCUUCAAAGCCCAAGUCCAAGAGAGCAAGGUCCAGAAAGAGAAAGGAGUUUCCUCCUCCCCUAGGUUCUCCCUGGGGCAUCCCUUUGUAGGGUCCAGAGCCUCCCUGAUAAUUGACAUGAACACCCAUGGCCACGUGCUUUCAGUGACACCAGAAGGGUAUGGUGUGAACCUACGGCCCCUCAGAACAGGGCAAAAAAAUGUGCAUUGUGCAAAAAAAUGACCAUUCACCAUAUAAGACAUAGCAUACACAGUAGCAGGGGGCUCAUUUUGUUACACUCUCAGAUGUCUAACUGGGGAGAUGAUGGUAUCAUAAGUACAGGAGGCAAAGGAGAUUUAGAGGAGGAAGGUGAGGAAAGGGACCCUCUGACACUGGGUGGGAAUGUAAAUUGGUGCAGCCACUAUGGAGAACAGUAUGGAGGUUCCUCAAAAAACUACAAAUAGAGCUACCAUAUGAUCCAGCAAUCUCACUCCUGGGUAUAUACCAGACAAAACUAUAAUUUGAAAAGAUACAUGCACCCCUAUGUUCAUAGCAGCACUAUUUAUGAUAGCUAAGACAUGGAAACAGCUUAAAUGUCCAUCGACAGAUGAAUGGAUAAAGAAGAUAUAUAUAUAUAUACAUAUAUAGAUGUGUAUGUAAAAAGAUGAUAUAUAUAUAUGUGUAUACACACACAGUGGAAUAUUACUCAACCAUCAAAAAGAAUGAAAUAAUCCAUUUGCAGCAACAUGGAUGGACCUAGAGAUUAUCAUACUAAGUGAAGUAAGUCAGAAAGUGAAAGACAAAUACCAUAUGAUAUCACUUACAUGUGGAAUCUGAAAUACGAUACAAAUCAACAUAUCUACAAAACAAGAACAGACUCACAGAUAUAGAGAACAGACUUGUGGUUGCCGAGAAGGAGAGGUGGUAGGGGAGGGAAGGAAGGGGAGUUUGGGAUUAGCAGAUGCAAACUAUUAUAUAUAGAAUGGAUAAACAACAAGGUCCUACAGCCUAGCACAGGGAAGUGUAUUUAAUAUCCUGUGAAAAACCAUAAUGGAAAAGAAUACGAAAAAAUAUAUAUAUAUGUAUAACAGUGACUUUGCUGUACAGAAGAAAUUAACACUACAUUGUAAAUCAACUGUACUUCAAUAAAAUUUAAAAAAAAAUAAAUAGAGGAGGAAGGGGAAUUCAGUCAGACACACUGAGUUUAAGCUGUCUGCAGGAGAGCCAGGUAAAGGAAGCCAAAAUGCCCUGGAGCCAGGAUUCUCUGUAUUUCUCCUGUUGAGAAUACACAACAAAAUUACCACUGGGCAAGCUCCCCAGCCCUUCCAGAUUCACUGUUGUUGAAAGGCCUCCAGGCCUUUCAUGCCCUAAGGGAACCCUUGCAGAUCUGUCUCCUCUCCACCACAUUCUUCCCUCCUGUUCUUCUGCCCUAUCAACUGUAACUGUUUACAAAUGCACGGUGCAUGUUCUAGGCCUACGAUACUGAGUGUGAUAACUUGGUCAUCAAAGAAGAGUCACUAGAUAAAUAUUUGUUGAAUUGAAUUGAACUGAUGGGAAAGGCUAAACUUGUUUAAAUUAUUUUACCUGAAGCUGUUUCCAAAUCAGAUCUGAGGAGAAGACAGUCAGGGUCAGACUGAGUCAAAAGGAAGAAAAGACCAUUUAUGCCUGGGGUCCUGGCCCCAUACCCUUAAAAUUCCUUUUGGUACUGCCAUAACCAAAUCCAUGAGCUAACAAAUGCUAAUCCCUUGGCUAACUGCAGUGAUGCAGAAAGAAGAUUCCACGUGACACGAGGGUGCUGUGGUCAACUAGAGUUGGCAUUCUGGUUUAGAAGAAAGAAAGAAACUCACUCCUUCCCCUCCCCUGCCUUGUGCUUUCCCCACGUCAGAGACAAAACGUGGUUAGUUAUCUUGGUCCCCUACUUCCCUUUGAAUUUGGCUAAAACGCUAUACCUGUGAUGCUGGCCUGGAUCUUCUCCCAUGAAUACACCCAACAGAGAAGACCCUUGCUGGCCCUUGUCUCCAUUGAAGGAAGGCAAAACUCCGAGGCCUGAGCUAGGCUGACCCUGGCUGGGCUGAGCUUUCACUGGAGCUGGCCUGGCUUUUGGGAUGCAGAUGCACUGACCAUCUGGUACCCGCCUCUUCUGGGGAGCUGAAACUCACAGGACAGAACUUGAAGGCUGCAACUGUACUUCGUCAUUAUGUUAAAGGUCCAACCCCACUCCAACACCAGUUAGAGAGCUGUGUCUCUGUGGGGUCCUUAGAAAUCAGAACUCAAGGCAAAGCUUGUAAGCUAACACUUUACUGAGGGUCCAGGCUGCAAAAGUGAAGGACAGAGGGCAGUGAAUGGGGGAAGGAGGGCAAACAUAUACAAAGGGGCAUGUUACAGAGCUGUCCACAGCCUCAGCAGAAACACUCCAGCUGCUCGGUCAUGCCCGAUGUCUGGGAGAGGCUGGGCAGAAUCACAGUGCCUCACAACAGUCUGGUUGGGACAGAAAGGACAGCAACUUUACCUGUCAGCUCCUUCCCAUUUCCUGUCACUCACACCCUUAGCGUGUGAACUCUCCUAUACUUCCUGCUCUGUUACCGGCUCCUGGGGAAACCAGAACCUCCAGGUCUAAUAAAGUCAGGCUGCUUUUCUAGAAUCCUUGUGGUCAUAGAAUACGGGAGAAAGAGCAACAUAGUCUUACUUCCCUUUGACGUCACCAUAUUCUUUUUAAACUGGUCAUCAUCCAAAGGAGAGAGCUUGUGCAGUUGGGGAGUUUAGUUGUGAUGACUUGAGUCUUGGCCAAUGUCUAAACUCGCUGAGGUAUUUCUCAAGUACUUGAAAUCAGUUUUAAGAAACAGGAGACAAAUA